Ceratotherium simum simum (southern white rhinoceros) is the source of this 649-nucleotide non-coding RNA. The record is from RefSeq and is a predicted model, not a curated record. Lineage: Eukaryota; Metazoa; Chordata; Mammalia; Perissodactyla; Rhinocerotidae.
GUCUCUCGCGUCGGGAGCGGACUCCUAGAGAGUGAGCGGGGCGGGUGGGAGGGAGCAAAGGCGGCUCUCCGCUCCAAUAGCGCCUCAGCGUUCGGGGUUGUUCCUGGGCCGCCAGCCUCGCGUGGUCUGGUCUGGGGCGCUGCGUCCGUCGGCUCUAGGAAGUUACGCAGCCUGCGGCGGUAAAGACCCUGCCCCCGGAGGCCUUGGCUGCGCCGGAGGGAACCGCAGCAUCCAGGGGACGACAUGCCAACUGCCAAGCAACUAGCUGACAUUGGCUACAAGACCUUCUCCACCUCCAUGAUGCUCCUGACCGUGUAUGGGGGCUACCUCUGCAGUGCCCGAGCCUACCGCUAUUUCCAACGGCGCAGCUCCCAGCGCCAGGCUGCAGAAGAACAGAAGACCUCAGGAGUCCUGUAGAACUGGAGGGCUUUUUCCCGUGAGCAGAGAGGCUUGAGGCAUGCUGUGGAAAAACCUUACCUGUAAUCAUUUCCAAUUCAAGAAGACUAGGGCCUUAAUGGUUUUCAAGCCCUGCUGGGAAAAGGUGCCUAUGUUUUCUCUGGUACUGCCAGCUUGGGGAGGCUGUGAAUCAUAAUAGGAAUGGGAGGGUGAGGCACACCUACAGGCAUUAAAUAUUUUGCCAUGUCUGUGU